This 467-nucleotide ribosomal RNA is filed under the name uncultured bacterium. RNAcentral describes it as "partial 16S ribosomal RNA". It matches the Rfam family "Bacterial small subunit ribosomal RNA", at positions 29 to 507 of the family's 1533-position model. The record is from RNAcentral.
ACGCACGCUGGCGGCGUGCUUCACACCUGCAAGUCGCACGGAAAGGCCCUGCUUUUGUGGGGUGCUCGAGUGGCGAACGGGUGAGUAACACGUGAGUAACCUGCCCUUGACUUUGGGAUAACUUCAGGAAACUGGGGCUAAUACCGGAUAGGAGCUCCUGCUGCAUGGUGGGGGUUGGAAAGUUUCGGCGGUUGGGGAUGGACUCGCGGCUUAUCAGCUUGUUGGUGGGGUAGUGGCUUACCAAGGCUUUGACGGGUAGCCGGCCUGAGAGGGUGACCGGCCACAUUGGGACUGAGAUACGGCCCAGACUCCUACGGGAGGCAGCAGUGGGGAAUAUUGCACAAUGGGCGGAAGCCUGAUGCAGCAACGCCGCGUGCGGGAUGACAGCCUUCGGGUUGUAAACCGCUUUCGCCUGUGACGAAGCGUGAGUGACGGUAAUGGGUAAAGAAGCACCGGCUAACUACGUG